UACGUAGCUCUUCUAUUUCACAUCUAUAUGCCUGUCUAUAGCUGAUAAUGCUAUGAAUGUUCCCCUCCCUCCCGUGUAAAAAAUCCCCUUCCCCUCCCCCUCUUCCACUGAAACCCACCUUCCACCUCUCUCUUUGACAACAGAGCUCCUCUCCUAGAACUAACGUCGGCGUUUGUGAAGUGUUCGCCGUUACCCCGCCCUUCCGUAACCUUUCCCCUUCCCUUCUUCCACCUUGAAGCCCCCUAUCGUCCACCUUUCUCGUUGACGAAAGAGCCCCUCUCCCAGAACCAACUUCGGCGACGUUCCUUGACUGUUCGCCAUGACCCCGCCCUGCCGUAACCCUUCCCUUUCCCCUUCCCCUCAUGGUGUGAAAUCAUUUUAGUUUGUGAUAACGAAAGGCAAUCCAAAGGCUGCAUGAACUGAACACAAUGUCUGUAAAAAAAUAUCAACCUCCCUAUAACGAUCUGAGACAAAACAAAGAUUCCCAAGCUAGGGAUAGUCAGACCAAGUAUUUUGCAGAGUCAAUUGGUUCAACCUCUGAAAGCUGCUGAUGCGUAGCUCUCGAAGUGAUCUAGUCGUAUUUGAGAACAGAAGGCGUGGCAGAGAAGCCAUACAGAAGAGAUAUGCAAGAAAAACAUGAAGGAAUUGAGGAGGGCUGUUGUGGUGGGCGAAGGCUGUGAUGGGCGAUGGAACAAAAUGGGGGAGAAACAGCUUCGUGGGGACGACCGAAAUUGGUGGGUGCCACGGCAUUGUCCAGCUGUGGUGGUGACGGAUCUGGUUUGGUGCAACGGUGGUCUAGGUUUGGUGCGGUGGCGAUGGUCUCGAUCUGGGUUUCGAAUGUAAAGACGAAUGCACUUAUUUCUUUUCUCAAAUUUAGACUGAUAGUGUGAUUUAAUCAAAUGAAAUCAUAUUUAUUGUAUCUAGUGUAAAACUUCAUAUGUGGCAUGUUGUGAUUGGAGGCUGUAAAAUGCCGAACAUCGGCCAAACCGACCCAAAGAGGAACUAAUAUAUAUGUAUGAGUUUUGCUACAUACAAGUAAAAUCGCGUACUAAUCUGCGUACCAAUACUGAUUCCUU
Long non-coding RNA from Carya illinoinensis, 1076 nucleotides. RefSeq lists it as uncharacterized. The record is from RefSeq and is a predicted model, not a curated record. NCBI's taxonomy places the organism in Eukaryota, Viridiplantae, Streptophyta, Magnoliopsida, Fagales, Juglandaceae. The transcript is spliced from 3 exons.